Molecule: long non-coding RNA, 6512 nt
Filed under: Brassica napus (rape)
Lineage: Eukaryota; Viridiplantae; Streptophyta; Magnoliopsida; Brassicales; Brassicaceae
Description: long non-coding RNA (BNAP_LNC016239)
Source: RNAcentral
AGUUCUUUUCCUCUGUUUCUAUUCCUUGAAGUAGAAUCUGUAAGUCAGUAUAUUCCUUUGAUUGUGAUCAAAUACAGAUUCAUGAUCUCACUGUAAGCACAAGUUUUAUGUGAACCAAGAAGUUCUUUAUAGAUAGAUGUACAAAGCAAACAAAGCCCACAUGCAACCAUAGAAAAGAGCAAAACAGAUUUUUCAAGGAAGAUCAAAACAUUAAAAGAGAAACCAAACAUCUGCAGAGGAUUGGUGUUUCAUUGAUUAGGCUUUGGUUCAAUAUCUUUGAGAAGACCAACUACUUGUUGCAUGCUUGGGCGCUUUGAAGGAAGAUCAGCCGUGCAAAGGUACCCAAUCUUGAGAGCUUCUUCCAUCUGAUCUUCUGAGCCCGUCUGUUGUAUUUUCGGAUCAAUAGCCUUUGAUCCUUGACUCUUCCUAACCAAACUUCUAAUCCAAGUCACGAGGUCUGUAUCUUUCUCAUCAAGAUACUCAUCUCCAACAGGUUUCUUCCCUGUGACCAGCUCAAACAGAACAACACCAAAGCAAUAUACAUCAGAUUUUGUCGUUGGCAGUUCUUGCUCAGGCUGCAAGAACUCAGGAGGGAGAUAACCGGGCGAGCCGUUGGCAAUCUCAUCGUCCAAUCCGCUUCCAAGGACUUUAGCCAAACCAAAAUCAGACAAUCUCGGUUCCAAGUUCUGGUCAAGAUAGACGCUACUAGCUUUCACAUCCCUAUGGAUCAUUGGCGGUGAACAACCGUGGUGAAGGAAGGCCAAUGCUCUGGCCGUUCCAAGCGCAAUCAUGUGCCUAAACCGCCACGUUGCAACCGGACCUUCAUGCCCUAUGUUUUGGAUUCCAUUGUCACCUUCUUCUUCCCAUGUAUCCGUGCUCCAGUCAUCUGUUGUCUGAACUCCAAACGGCAGGUCUUGAAGCAGGUUUUGCAAGUUACCGUUCUCCAUGUACUCAUAGAUAGCUAUCCUCUGAUCACCAGCUAUGCAGUAUCCAGUUAACGGAACAAGAUUCGGAUGCUUGAUUCUCCCAAGAAACUCCAGCUCUCUAGCUGCUUCUUGGUCGCUAAGAGUCGAGCCAUGGACCAAAACUUUUACAGCUACAUGGAUCCCACCAGGGAGGAAGCCUCUGUAGACCGGACCGAACUUACCUUCUGCUAAAAGAGUGUCUCUGUCGAAAUGGGAAGUCGCAGACAAGAGAUCUGAGAAGGUGAUGUUCAGCAACGGCUUCUCAAAGAUAACGACGGGAACCGCGUUUGCCUGCUUGACAUCAGCCACCCAUGUGGUGGAAUCUGUCUGGAAAGAAAACGGACCUGAGAUGCUUUGUUCUUCCUUAACUGAGACAUCUUUGGCUUCACUGGUUUUAACUUUCCUUUUGUGGCCAAACGCUACAAAAACCAAAGCUGCUAUGAGUAAGAACAUGGCGGAGAGCGUCACCGCCAAAGCCACCUUGAGUACUCCAGUGGCUGAGCGUCUCCUCUUGAAGAGCGCAGGGUCUGCAGCGAUAGGGCAGCUGCUUGUAGAGCCAAAGAAGGAUCUGGUGAGAGUUUCAGGCGAGAAUUUUUCAGUGCAAAACGUUAAGUUGUUGUAAGAGAAGUUGAAACUCUCCAUCCACUGGAGCUUCUCAAUGAUAGGCAUUGGUAUCUCUCCAGUCAAAUUGUUCCUGGAAACAUCGAUAGCCGCGAGGUUCUUGAUACUCAACAGAGGGAUGUUUCCUGAUAGAUGGUUUCCAGAAACAUCAAGUGUGUUCAAGUCACUCAGCUCUGAGAUCUCUAUUGGUAUGUGACCAGAGAGAUUUGUGUUAGACAAGUUGAGAUACUCCAAACCAGAGAUCAUCUGGAUCCUAGGAAACACCCCUCUGUUGAAUCUGUUCCAAGCUAGAUUUAAGUGCUUAAGCUUCUUUAGUAGUGUGAGAUUCUUGAAGAUAUCUCCACUGAGCUCAUUCUCAGACAAGUCUAGAUAAACCAAACUAGUCCAGUUGGAAUCUACCUGAGAGAUAUGACCUUGAAACCGGUUCUUGCUGAGAUCAGCCACCUCAAGAGUCUCCUUGAACAAACCUGUUGCUGAACCCUCAAACUGGUUCCCUGAGAUGUUAAAAGAAGUGAUGGACUUCAUGUCAGAAAAAUCUCUGUCCCUGCCAUGGAUCUUGUUUCUUGCUAUGUUCAAAGCUUUGAGCUUCUGAAAUGCAGAGGCAAACCCAUCAGGGAGAGACCCUUCAAGCUGGUUAGAGGAGAGAUCAAUGGAAACAAGAGACUGGCAGCCAAGAAGUCCUCUUGGGAUAGACAUCUGAAACCCAUUGUGAUCAAACUUCAAGACUCUCAAGCUGACAAGAGAGUCCACAGCCUCAGGGAUUUGACCUGAGAAGUUGUUGUGAGAGAGGUCAAGGGACUCAAGCUGCCCAAAGUUGCCAACAUUGCUGGGGAAAGAGCCAGAGAUCUGGUUGAAGGAGAGGUUGAGGCUCUUCAAAGUGGUCAGACUCCAGAAAUCAGAUGGCAAAGCAGAGAUUCUGUUGUUGCUGAGAUCCAGAGACUGGAGCUUGCUGAGUUUGCCAAGGGUUGUGUCAGGGAUUGGACCAGAUAAACCCAUCCCAGUGGCAAUUAACACAGUCACAUGCUCAUUGUUGGAAUCACAGAACAAGCCUUGCCAUGAGCAAAAGGGAGCAGAGAAGUUGUAAGCUUGAGCAGAGGUUAAACUCAUUUGUUUGAAGAAUUCAGAGACAAAGAAACCAUCUGUGUUUGGUUCUUGGCAAUAAACUUGCUUCAAGAACAGAGGAAGAAUCAAUGCAUAACCCCAGAAACCAAAACCCAUUUGAUAAAAUCUCUCUUUCUCCCAAGAAAAGUUUAUAGAAAGCAGAAUCUCACUAAAGCUACUUUAAAGUCUUUCAUGCAAAAACCCAGAAAGCUCAAGCAGUUGAAGACAAGAUGAGGAGAGAGAUAUAGAGAUAGAAAAAGAGUUUACUUGACUAUGUGGUGCUUCUCAAGUACACGAGAAACCAAAAGGACAUAAAAUCAAGAAAAAGGAGCAUUUUUGUCAGUGCCUAGCAUCAUGGAUAUAUGUAAACUUUGAGUAGAUUAAUAAUUUAAUAUAAUAUUAAGCUUCCUCUGAGUGUGACAUGACAAUCUAUUUUAAUUGAGAAUUCUAAUAAAUACCAGAGAGAGAGGUGUGGACACAGUUAGGAGCAGAAAGGGGGUGAAGCUUUUUCAUAAAUGAGAGAAUUCAUUCACUCGGAUUUCAGAAACAGUAUCAUUGGUUUCUUUUUCUAGUUGAAAGUCAUUGAUUCUUCUCACCGCAAACCCGUUUUUGUCAAUCUUUUAGGUGAAUCCAUUUCAACUGUUUUUUUUUUUCCCUCUAGCCAGAAAGUUUAAUUUUCUUUUCAAUAAUUCAAGAGCAUCAGCAUUGACACAAUCUCUCUUAGAAGAGUACCUUUCACAUAUAAUAUCAUUUAAUUAAUUUGUAUAAUUAAAUGUUAAAUUCAAAAAUUAUUAGAUCAAUGAAAAGAUAACAUGUAAAAGAAGAGUCCCUGAUCUAUUUUUGUAAGUUUUUUGAAGAACAAUAGCUUCUGCACUUCUCUCCUCUUUUUCUUACCAUUUCUUUUACUUUUUCUCUUUAUUUUAUUACCCCUUCCAUUUCCGAAAAUAAGAUUUUCUAAAGUUUUCAUGUUUAUUAAAAAUAUAAUAAAUGUUUACAAUUUAAUUUACAAUUUAAUUUUUAAUACACUUUACAAUAAUCAUCCACUAAUAAAAUUUAAUCAGUUCAAAUAUUCACAAUUAAUGUUUCUAAAAAAUAAACAAAAAUAUCUUAAAAAUAUAAAAAAUCUAUUUUUGUGGAACAAGAAAAAACUCUAUAAAAUCUUACUUUCGGGAACGGAAAGAGUAUUAAAAAAGUGAGAAUUUCUUCUUCAUACCUUCACUACACCUGCUCUAAAAGCAUCUUUAAAAAAACUCUAUAACUUCAAAUAUAAAGUUUUGAGGAAUGAAAACUUCAAAUUUGAAGUUUCCUCUUUUUAUUUGCAUUUUGAUCCUUAUAAUUAAUUACACAUCACAUUUAUGAUUCUUAAGUAUUUUCUCAUUUAUCGUUCUAAUCCUUAUUUUUUAUAAAUCAUAAAUAUUUCAAAAAAAAUUAUGAGUUAACAUUUUACACAUAAAAUUAAAUAAAAAAGUUAAAAUAAGAUUUAUAAUAUCUCAAGACUAUAAUUAGAAAACAAGAAUAUUAUAAAAGAAACUUAAUAAAAAAACUCUUAAAUAAGAUACAUGAAGACAUAACUAUUAGGAAAAAUUAAAUAUUACAAUAACACUAAUAGUCUGGUAAAUUUGCUCAAGAACCUUCAAAAUUUCCAAAAUAUUGUCCAAAACUUUUUUUGUACCCAAAGAUGGAGAAUGACGGAAAUAAUUUUAUGGAAUAAUGUGGUAUUUUUUUGUAGUUUAAUAUUUAGUUAUGUAUUUCUAUUUAUAAUUUUAUACAUUUGAUGUAAGAUUUUAUUAAUUAAUAUUACUAUAAUAUUUUUAUAUAUGUGCUAGUUAUUUAUAAAUUUUUUUGAAUUUAUAUUAAAUCUUUUUAACACUAAAUGUUGAUUUCAUAGUAUAUUUGUCUUUAAAUAGAUUAGAUAGUUUUUUUAUUGAAAUUAUUUUUGUAAACGUAUUUUUGUAGAUAAAUAAUCAUAUACAAUUUCAGCCAAAAAUGUUUAAUUUAUGACCAUUUUUUGCAAAAGCGUGAGAAAAGAUUUCCAGCUUCUAUUUUUGUACUUGGAUAUUUCAAACUUAUUAAUACGACUAAAAGUGGAUAACAUGCAAUUAUUACGGUUAGGUUCAUCUAUGAAUGUUUAUAGGGUGAAUUUGCCAUCUAACCAAGUUUGGAGUCAAAAGAAAACACUUUCUUAAUAAAAGUUCUUUUGUUUUUUUGAAACAGAUAAAAGUUCUUUAUUCUUCUUUUUUUACAAAAGAUCUUCUUUAGCACUUAUUGUAAAAUCUAUCUCCAUUGAUGGUUUAACAUGUCAUGCCAUUAAAGGUGUGUACAAAGUAUGUUCUCUUUACCUUUUUAGAUUGCCGGUUGUUAUUUUUCUUUUACGUCUUUCUUAGCAAGCUGCGACUUUCUUACCUAUAGGAAUAAUGAUAAUUAUUUCUCACAAAUGAAAUGGAUUCACAUGGAAAUGUCAAAAAUUUAAUAGAUUCGCAUUGAUAUGAGAUUUUGCAGUGUGACAUAAUUCAAAUGUGAUAAAAUUUACUUAAAAUUUUUAAACAGUGGCAUUAGACAUGGCGACAGGAGAAAUGUGAGUCUGCUCCAUGAAUCCUAUCUUUCGUCGUUCUCCACACGCAAGUUCGUCUGCCACUCCCUCCAUGUCCAUCUUUCUCUGCAGUGGUCGCUUUCCUCGGUGAAGCUCUCUCCUUUUCGAUCAUCUCGACAACUCGAUCCGUCGUGUUGGGUGAGAGUUGUAGCUGUAGCGAUGGAGAUGCAAUCUCCAUCGUCUCUUCUACAAGAUUUAGAGAUCGUUCAUGAGUUUUGCGUUGCUGCAUGCGUACGCUUACGGUAAGACUUUAUAGUCGCUUCUUGCCAUCUAACUGGUGGAAUGCUCAUUUCUGUAUGUGUUUGGCUUGUGAUCUAUGUUCACGGAGACUCUGAAUGUGGCGUGGAGGCGUGAGCUAUGUUCCCUCUAAAAUCAAGUCUCUUUGACUUCAGUUCUUGCUAGCCCAUCUUGUUGUCCAUGAGUUUGAGUAGCAUGCUUAGCAGUUCAUGCAAGGAGUCUCUUUGUUUUAUUGUGUUCACGGCUCUUAGAGCUUCAAAAAGAAGUAGCAAGGCCUUGAAGUGGUGAUACUGCACCCUUUCAUUUAGCUGACUUUGAAGAGGAGUGGGGUUGUGGAAGUUGAGCGAUGCUAAGGUUUGGUGGUUAAUAUUAUCCCCUCUAAGGCCGGUUCUUGAUUUUGGAAGAGUGUCCUAGCUUAGACUUGAGGACGGUCUUCGAGCGGGCCUCUAUGUUGUUUCAAAGGAAUGGUCUUUUGCUUCGGGUGAAAGGAUGAAAUGGCUUCUUGGUCGGUUGAUCGUGGAUCCACUUUGCCUUGGGUGUGUGGCGUGUGUCCCUUCUUUCAGUAGAUGCUCAAUCUCUCAUUCAGGUGCUUUAAGUUUGUAUCGAUUACUUCUAGUGUCACAAUCAUAAUUCCAGUUGCUGCUUGAUCUCUCACAGUCAUACUCUCAUUAAAACAUGCAUGUAUCUUACAGUUUGUCAAAUAAAAUAUGAUUUUUUCUUUGACCAAAAAAAAUAUAUGAUUUUUUUUUCAAUUCAUAAACUUCAUUUUAUAAAAAGUUAAAAAAAAAAGGUAGAAUCCUCUUUAAUACUUUUGCAUCAGAAAUGUAAAACCACAUUUGUUAUAAAAAUGAUAAACUACUUUUAAACGGAAAGAAUAAAACUUAUCCUAAAUGGGUUACUUCAAAAAGAAAUCCACCAUGGAAUUAGAUAUCAAAACGAUUUGUAUUAACGUACAUACCUUAGUUUCUCUCCUAAGAUUGCACAUACCUUAGUUUCUC